UGGGUCAGCGACUUAUAUUCUGUAGCAAGGUUAACCGUAUAGGGGAGCCGCAGGGAAACCGAGUCUUAACUGGGCGUUAAGUUGCAGGGUAUAGACCCGAAACCCGGUGAUCUAGCCAUGGGCAGGUUGAAGGUUGGGUAACACUAACUGGAGGACCGAACCGACUAAUGUUGAAAAAUUAGCGGAUGACUUGUGGCUGGGGGUGAAAGGCCAAUCAAACCGGGAGAUAGCUGGUUCUCCCCGAAAGCUAUUUAGGUAGCGCCUCGUGAACUCAUCUUCGGGGGUAGAGCACUGUUUCGGCUAGGGGGUCAUCCCGACUUACCAACCCGAUGCAAACUACGAAUACCGAAGAAUGUUAUCACGGGAGACACACGGCGGGUGCUAACGUCCGUCGUGAAGAGGGAAACAACCCAGACCGCCAGCUAAGGUCCCAAAGUCACAGUUAAGUGGGAAACGAUGUGGGAAGGCACAGACAGCCAGGAUGUUGGCUUAGAAGCAGCCAUCAUUUAAAGAAAGCGUAAUAGCUCACUGGUCGAGUCGGCCUGCGCGGAAGAUGUAACGGGGCUAAACUGUGCACCGAAGCUGCGGCAGCGACACUAUGUGUUGUUGGGUAGGGGAGCGUUCUGUAAGCCUGCGAAGGUGGCCUGUGAGGGUUGCUGGAGGUAUCAGAAGUGCGAAUGCUGACAUAAGUAACGAUAAUGCGGGUGAAAAGCCCGCACGCCGGAAGACCAAGGGUUCCUGUCCAACGUUAAUCGGGGCAGGGUGAGUCGACCCCUAAGGCGAGGCCGAAAGGCGUAGUCGAUGGGAAACAGGUUAAUAUUCCUGUACUUGGUGUUACUGCGAAGGGGGGACGGAGAAGGCUAUGUCGGCCGGGCGACGGUUGUCCCGGUUUAAGCAUGUAGGCGGAGGUUCCAGGUAAAUCCGGUACCUUUUAACGCUGAGGUGUGAUGACGAGGCACUACGGUGCUGAAGUAACAAAUGCCCUGCUUCCAGGAAAAGCCUCUAAGCAUCAGGUAACAUUGAAUCGUACCCCAAACCGACACAGGUGGUCAGGUAGAGAAUACCAAGGCGCUUGAGAGAACUCGGGUGAAGGAACUAGGCAAAAUGGUGCCGUAACUUCGGGAGAAGGCACGCUGAUAUGUAGGUGAAGUGAUUUACUCAUGGAGCUGAAAUCAGUCGAAGAUACCAGCUGGCUGCAACUGUUUAUUAAAAACACAGCACUGUGCAAACACGAAAGUGGACGUAUACGGUGUGACGCCUGCCCGGUGCCGGAAGGUUAAUUGAUGGGGUUAUCCCUCGGGAGAAGCUCUUGAUCGAAGCCCCGGUAAACGGCGGCCGUAACUAUAACGGUCCUAAGGUAGCGAAAUUCCUUGUCGGGUAAGUUCCGACCUGCACGAAUGGCGUAAUGAUGGCCAGGCUGUCUCCACCCGAGACUCAGUGAAAUUGAACUCGCUGUGAAGAUGCAGUGUACCCGCGGCAAGACGGAAAGACCCCGUGAACCUUUACUAUAGCUUGACACUGAACACUGGUCCUUGAUGUGUAGGAUAGGUGGGAGGCUUUGAAGUGUGGACGCCAGUCUGCAUGGAGCCGCCCUUGAAAUACCACCCUUUAAUGGCUGGUGUUCUAACGUGGGCCCGUGAUCCGGGUUGCGGACAGUGUCUGGUGGGUAGUUUGACUGGGGCGGUCUCCUCCUAAAGAGUAACGGAGGAGCACGAAGGUCAGCUAAUCCUGGUCGGACAUCAGGAGGUUAGUGCAAUGGCAUAAGCUGGCUUGACUGCGAGCGUGACGGCGCGAGCAGGUGCGAAAGCAGGUCAUAGUGAUCCGGUGGUUCUGAAUGGAAGGGCCAUCGCUCAACGGAUAAAAGGUACUCCGGGGAUAACAGGCUGAUACCGCCCAAGAGUUCAUAUCGACGGCGGUGUUUGGCACCUCGAUGUCGGCUCAUCACAUCCUGGGGCUGAAGUAGGUCCCAAGGGUAUGGCUGUUCGCCAUUUAAAGUGGUACGCGAGCUGGGUUUAGAACGUCGUGAGACAGUUCGGUCCCUAUCUGCCGUGGGCGCUGGAGAA
RNAcentral lists this ribosomal RNA (2063 nucleotides) under Klebsiella aerogenes. RNAcentral describes it as "bacterial LSU rRNA". It matches the Rfam family "Bacterial large subunit ribosomal RNA", at positions 616 to 2661 of the family's 2925-position model. The record is from RNAcentral. Lineage: Bacteria; Pseudomonadati; Pseudomonadota; Gammaproteobacteria; Enterobacterales; Enterobacteriaceae.